This is a non-coding RNA of Paramuricea clavata, 262 nucleotides long. The record is from the annotation of a GenBank genome assembly. Lineage: Eukaryota; Metazoa; Cnidaria; Anthozoa; Malacalcyonacea; Plexauridae.
AAAACAGCAAAAAAUUAAGGCUAUACCCUUUAUUUUCGUUUAUUUUAGCGACUUUUUCCAUUUUUCAUAAAUGACCAAAAAACAGCAAAAAAGUAAGGCUAUACCCUUUACUUUUCGUCCAUUUUUAGCGACUUUUUGCAUUUUUCUUAAAUGACAAAAAACAGCAAAAAAUUAAGGCUAUACCCUUUAUUUUCGUCCAUUUUUAGCGACUUUUUCCAUUUUUCACAAAUGACCAAAAAACAGCAAAAAAAGUAAGGCUACC